CACACACACACACACACACACACCCUCCUGGCAAUGCUCAAGGUGCUGAGUCCUCCAUUGUGAAGUCAUCUUGUGCUGAUCUACCUCACCUCCAUUCAUAGCAGGGGCCACCACAAAGAAAGCCUUGUUGUACUGCCUAGUUUCAUGGCACAAUGAGAUGGUUUCUUCCUUCCAGGGACUGAACUUGCCUGAUCGAAGCAAGACUGGGAAAGUGAGCUUCCUGGCUAGUGGAAUUGGCAAGGGUGAUUGGGUCUCCUGGGACUUCCUAGGGCCAGACAGAGCAUGCAUGUGCAAAUGUGCUAAACCGUUGACUCACUGAUUACCAGUCUGGAAUCAGACUCUCUAAGCAGGGAGAGGUCACAAGGUUUAGGUGAGUGUUUUGUUUGGGGUGGGUUGAGGUAUGCCAGACCUUAUUAAAGAGUCCUGCUGCUGGCUAAGUGGGAAAAGGAGAGGCUGCUUCAGCCUUUGGAGGAAGGGACGAGAGAGCUGCAACAGGAAGUCAGAUGACAAGAGUGCGGAGACAUUUAAUUACUUCCAGACGUGGCGGUGAUGUUGUUACUCAUAUUGGGAUGCAGGACUGACUCACACUCGCAGGGGUAUCGGGAUCAUUAGGGUGCUGGCUGCAACAUGAGCCAGAAAGCCAGAAUGUUAAGCACUAAAAUUCCCUGAUUACUAAGAAAGUCUGAGAAAUGGAGCAUUUUUGACACCCAGAGGUCAAACUCUCUACAUCAUCAUAGAAGGCGCUCCAACACAAAGCCACUUGCAGGAGGAAAUGCUGGUUUAUGGGAGUUCCAGGGCCCCUUUCACACACUUCACAUUCCUGCCAGCCUUGGAAAGUGGGUUUCCCCCCCUCAUUGCACCAUUAUGAGAUUCCAGGGUUCUGGGAAGUUGUAGCUUUGUGAGAGGCAAGCUGGGGUCCCCAUGGUUCUUUGGGGAGUACAAAUGGACAAAUAACCUCCAUAGUUUAUUCAUGGUCUAGUAAUCCCACCCAUUUCUCUAUAACCACAAUUGCUCAGGCCAGAGGUUUUUGCCUGCCAUUUUAGUGGGCAUCUUUUAACUGGAGAUUCUGGGCAUUUAACCUGCGACCUUAUUUGUGCCAAGCAUAUGCUCUGUGACUCUUGAAUGAUGGCUUCUUCCAACUGAGGGGUGUAUGUUUGUUACACUUUUAGGGGAACAGAGAGAUGGUUCCAUGUCAUCAGGGGUUCUCCAUUUGUGGAGGGGGACUUCCCCAGGGAGGUUUCUUUAUAACUCUUCCCAGUUAGCAUCUUCUCUGGGGAGAAAGAUAAAUGCCAGCUAGGGUUGCCACCUUUGUAUCUCAGAUCUGAUCUGAACGAUAAGAAGACAUUCUAUAGGUGCAGUAUGACAAGGUUGGACCUCAAUUUUCAAGCUACCUGCUCUCAGUCACACCCAUUGAAUGCGGCUACACUCGGCCUCUUUCCCUCAACUCCUGUCUUUCCCUCCAGGCUUCACAACAUCCCUUCUUUCCAGAUACCACCCCAUUCUGUUGAUAAAAAUCACCCCCGGCAAUGGGCUGUUUAGUUUCCCAGGAACCUCAUCAGCCUAGCUUCCUAGGGGAAAACAAUAUCUGAUGGAUUUCUGCUUAUGCAGCUAUUGACAUCCUACAGCUUGUGUGUGCUGCUGCAGGUGGGCAGCAGGAGCUGCUUUGAGUCCAGCAGCACCUGGGGGCUGUUCCACAUACCUAAAUCUGCCCCCCUCCCAGAUGCUUAGCAUCUCCUGUACCUGCUUUUUUGCUGCAAGAGGCUAACACAGCAGCCCUUCUGGGAACUGAUUGCAUGUUACCAUUCAUUCUUUCCUUUUCACAUAUACCACCCUCUCUCCCCACCCCAACCCCAACUCUCUCUAGGUACAUUUGUUCAAACCCUGAUCUCAGGCCAUAAGCCCAUUUUUCCAUCUCAAAAGGUAGCCUUGCAGCAAGAUGUAGCUACAGCCCACUUAGUGGUGGAUGGGGCUCAAAAGUUAAGUGAGAUGUGUUUGAUUGGUGCAAUCUACUCUGAGGUCACAAUGGCCUCAAUCCAUGAAGUGAACUGCUGGGGAAGGAUGCUGUGCUCUUGCCUAGGCUUAGUAGAGGAGAUGGGAAGAGACAGUAGGAAGCAAGCUUCUCUUAAGAGCUCUUCUAGGAAAACAGACUUGGGGAAAUGGAGGCAGCAAGUCCCUCAGUUUUGCAGCAUGCUGCUGAAUGAUGAAAAGUUGCUCAAGGAAGGAAAGAACCAUCAUUUGUUGGAUGAGCACCAGCUUUGCCAGCAGAAGAUCUCCACUUCAGUCUCUGCCAUCUCCACGUAGGGCUGGGGAAAAAACCCUCACCUGAGACUCUACCACGGGGUGGUGAACCCACAGUCUGCAUCUGGCCCAGGGGCUUAAGCCAUGGAUGGGACAUGCUAACCAAGAAGAUUAUUCCAGCAUGUGCAGAGCUGAUCCUGGAGUGUGUGCUUUUGAAUGCACACUUUUGCGGGUGAUGCCACUGUCCGAGGUUGGGCACCAGAUUAUUGUGGAGCUGGGAGGAGGGGCUUGAGGACAGGACCCCUCGUUGGCUGAUGGAAAAGCAGCUGCUGAGAUCAGCAAAGGUAGUAUCAGCACAGCCCUUGUGUGGUGAACAAACGAGCUGCUGCUAUCGGCUGGAGGGCAUCAAGUACGUACCAGGAAAGUUAGGUUUGCUGAAUUAAAGUGGGUCAAACACCUUAUUGCUCUAUGGCAAUAAAUCCGCUUGAAAAGAAAAGGAGACUUUUUGCCUUUGGUAAAGAGAUGGAGAAAUGUGCAGAAAAGGGCAGAAUGAACAAAUAACAAACACCCCACAAACAAAUAAGCAGAAAUGCUUUUUGUCAUAUAACUGCCCCAUAAACAAAUUAGAAUGAAUACUCAGUAAAGACCGUAAUAGUGCAACCAUCAUGUAAAGCUUUCUGCCAGCAAAUCAAGAUAUACUGAAUAAACAGGUUGUAAAUUCCA
Podarcis raffonei (Aeolian wall lizard) is the source of this 2961-nucleotide long non-coding RNA. RefSeq lists it as uncharacterized. The record is from RefSeq and is a predicted model, not a curated record. Lineage: Eukaryota; Metazoa; Chordata; Lepidosauria; Squamata; Lacertidae. The transcript is spliced from 6 exons.